GGUGUUUCUUCACUUCACCCAGAAACUGUGAACUCCUGACGGCGAUGCUCCGCUCAGCCUCCUCUUCAGAAGCCCACCGUGGAUCCAAGCCUUGCUCCUGGUGCUGAAGAAAUCCCUGCCGAGUGACCAAUUCAUGGAUCUAUUUGCAAUUUUGAUGGCAGAGGAAGUUACAACAUCUAGGAAAGAGGACAAUCCAGAUGGACUUCAGCUGUGAAGAACAAGAGGAGGCAGUGGAAAGGUGGGGAGGCUGGAUGUCCGAAUACCCGAGCCUCUCGGCGACAAAUGUGAUCUUUUAUCAAUACAAAGCAUGAUGCUUUUGUCCUCCCC
Molecule: non-coding RNA, 327 nt
Organism: Odocoileus virginianus texanus
Lineage: Eukaryota; Metazoa; Chordata; Mammalia; Artiodactyla; Cervidae
Source: RefSeq, a predicted model, not a curated record